ACUCAAAUGAAUUGACGGGGGCCCGCACAAGCGGUGGAGCAUGUGGUUUAAUUCGACGCUACGCGAAGAACCUUACCUGGGCUCGAACGACUGGUAGUAGUCCGGAAGAAAUUCUGGGCGACCCGCAAGGGAGCCAGCCGAGGUGCUGCAUGGUUGUCGUCAGCUCGUGUCGUGAGAUGUUGGGUUAAGUCCCGCAACGAGCGCAACCCCUGUCCUGUGUUGCUACUCCGCAAGGAGAGGACUCUCAGGAGACUGCCACGGAUAACGUGGAGGAAGGCGGGGAUGACGUCAAAUCAUCAUGGCCUUUAUGUCCAGGGCCACACACGUGCUACAAUGGCGUAUACAACGGGAUGCGAAACAGCAAUGUCAAGCAAAUCCCUUAAAGUACGCCCCAGUUCAGAUUGAGGGCUGCAAUUCGCCCUCAUGAAGGCGGAAUCGCUAGUAAUCGCAGAUCAGCAGGCUGCGGUGAAUACGUUCCCGGGCCUUGUACACACCGCCCGU
Molecule: ribosomal RNA, 501 nt
Filed under: uncultured bacterium
Lineage: Bacteria
Description: partial 16S ribosomal RNA
Rfam family: Bacterial small subunit ribosomal RNA
Source: RNAcentral